CCUACGGGCGGCUGCAGUGGGGAAUAUUGGGCAAUGGGCGCAAGCCUGACCCAGCAACGCCGCGUGAAGGAAGAAGGCUUUCGGGUUGUAAACUUCUUUUGUCAGGGACGAAGCAAGUGACGGUACAUGACGAAUAAGCCACGGCUAACUACGUGCCAGCAGCCGCGGUAAUACGUAGGUGGCAAGCGUUAUCCGGAUUUAUUGGGUGUAAAGGGGGUGUAGGCGGGAAUGCAAGUCAGAUGUGAAAACUAUGGGCUCAACCCAUAGCCGGCAUUUGAAACUGUAUUUCUUGAGUGCGGGAGAGGCAAUCGGAUGUCCGUGUGUAGCGGUGAAAUGCGUAGAUAUACGGAGGAACACCAGUGGCGAAGGCGGAUUGCUAGACAGUAACUGACGCUGAGGCGCGAAAGCGUGGGGAGCAAACAGGAUUAGAUACCCCUGUAGUC
RNAcentral lists this ribosomal RNA (443 nucleotides) under uncultured bacterium. RNAcentral describes it as "partial 16S ribosomal RNA". It matches the Rfam family "Bacterial small subunit ribosomal RNA", at positions 338 to 795 of the family's 1533-position model. The record is from RNAcentral.